UUUUUGUACAAGCAAACAAGUGUUGACCUGAAACGACCCCGGAGACAAGCACAUUUUAAUCAGGCACAAACUGGGGCAGCCUGGGGUCCUUCCAAAUCUGCAUAAACACUUCAGUGGAGUAAAGAAAUACUACAAGGAAGGUCAGAAUGGUCCAGCAAAUACUCAGUAAAUUUGUCGGUGCUAAGAACGUCACGAUCUUACGGACGUGGGUACCCAAUUUGGUGACAUGGGGGACGGUGGGUGGUGUGACGCUUGUUUACUUCACAGACUGGCGGGUCGUCCUCGACUACGUGCCGUACAUUAGGGGCAAGUUCCGCAAGGAUGACUGAAGACUUUUUCAAUUCAAUUCCGUUGUGUUCACAUAACAGCCACGUAAAUGCCGAUCGUUGCUGUUCGCAUUGGCCUUGAGCCGCAAGAAAAUUCAUAAUCUGGGUCACUCGUAUCUCGAGGCACCACUCUAUGUCCCGUUUUAGUGGACGCACAAACACGGAGCAGAGCGUAUAUCCGUGGGCUGGGUGGACAAGAGUGGACUUGCUUCUACUUGGCCACUUAAAAAUGGGAUGAUGAUGAUAAUGUCCAAGUACUGCAGGGACUUGUUAGGAUGAAUUCUGUAUAAUUUUAAAAAAAGCGUUUUGAUCCAUGACUAUUUAAUCUGAAUAAAUCUUUAAAUGUGC
Molecule: RNA transcript, 674 nt
Organism: Hippocampus comes (tiger tail seahorse)
Lineage: Eukaryota; Metazoa; Chordata; Actinopteri; Syngnathiformes; Syngnathidae
Gene name: cytochrome b-c1 complex subunit 10-like
Exons: 4
Source: RefSeq, a predicted model, not a curated record